AAACUUUCAACAAAGGAUCUCUUGGCUCUCGCAUCGAUGAAGAACGCAGCGAAGCGCGAAAUGUAGUGUGAAUCGCAGAACAUUGUGAACCAUCGAAUCUUUGAACGCACAUUGCGCCCCCCUUUAGGGGAGGCAUGCCUGUCUGAGCGUCACUU
RNAcentral lists this ribosomal RNA (155 nucleotides) under uncultured Archaeorhizomycetes. RNAcentral describes it as "5.8S ribosomal RNA". It matches the Rfam family "5.8S ribosomal RNA". Rfam says of the family: 5.8S ribosomal RNA (5.8S rRNA) is a component of the large subunit of the eukaryotic ribosome. It is transcribed by RNA polymerase I as part of the 45S precursor that also contains 18S and 28S rRNA. The record is from RNAcentral. Lineage: Eukaryota; Fungi; Ascomycota; Archaeorhizomycetes.